Molecule: ribosomal RNA, 253 nt
Filed under: uncultured bacterium
Lineage: Bacteria
Description: partial 16S ribosomal RNA
Rfam family: Bacterial small subunit ribosomal RNA
Source: RNAcentral
UACAGAGGAUGCAAGCGUUAUCCAGAAUGAUUGGGCGUAAAGCGUCUGUAGGUGGCUUUUUAAGUCCGCCGUCAAAUCCCAGGGCUCAACUCUGGACAGGCGGUGGAAACUACCAAGCCGGAGUACGGUAGGGGCAGAGGGAAUUUACGGUGGAGCGGUGAAAUGCGUAGAGAUCGGAAAGAACACCAACGGCGAAAGCGCUCUGCUGGGCCGACACUGACACUGAGAGACGAAAGCUAGGGGAGCGAAUGGG